UACAGAGGGGGCAAGCGUUGUUCGGAAUUACUGGGCGUAAAGGGCGCGUAGGCGGCCUGUUAAGUCGAACGUGAAAUCCCCGGGCUCAACCCGGGAACUGCGUCCGAAACUGGCAGGCUCGAAUCCGGGAGAGGGAUGCGGAAUUCCAGGUGUAGCGGUGAAAUGCGUAGAUAUCUGGAGGAACAUCGGUGGCGAAGGCGGCAUCCUGGACCGGUAUUGACGCUGAGGCGCGAAAGCGUGGGGAGCAAACAGG
Molecule: ribosomal RNA, 253 nt
Filed under: uncultured bacterium
Lineage: Bacteria
Description: partial 16S ribosomal RNA
Rfam family: Bacterial small subunit ribosomal RNA
Source: RNAcentral